UAGCGUAUAUUAAAGUUGUUGCGGUUAAAAAGCUCGUAGUUGGAUUUCUGUUGAGGUUGGGCGGUCCGCACUACGUGCGAGUAUCUGCUUCGGCCUUGGCAUCCUCUCGGAAAACGCUACUGUGCUUGAUUGCAUGGUGCGGGGUUCGGGACUUUUACUUUGAGGAAAUUAGAGUGUUCACGGCAGGCAAUCGCCCUGAAUAUAUUAGCAUGGAAUAAUAAUAUAGGAUCUGAUGCCUAUUUUGUUGGUUUCUAGGCGUGAGAUAAUGAUUAAUAGGGACAAUUGGGGGGAUUCGUAUUAUGGCGUC
RNAcentral lists this ribosomal RNA (307 nucleotides) under Amoebophrya sp. Its description in RNAcentral is "SSU rRNA". It matches the Rfam family "Eukaryotic small subunit ribosomal RNA", at positions 595 to 906 of the family's 1831-position model. Lineage: Eukaryota; Dinophyceae; Syndiniales; Amoebophryaceae. The record is from RNAcentral.